Molecule: ribosomal RNA, 444 nt
Filed under: uncultured bacterium
Lineage: Bacteria
Description: partial 16S ribosomal RNA
Rfam family: Bacterial small subunit ribosomal RNA
Source: RNAcentral
GUAGGGAAUAUUGGGCAAUGGUCGGAAGACUGACCCAGCCAUGCCGCGUGCAGGAAGACGGCCCUCUGGGUUGUAAACUGCUUUUAUCUGGGAAGAAAAAGGCCAUGCGUGGCAAAUUGCCGGUACCAGAUGAAUAAGCACGGGCUAACUCCGUGCCAGCAGCCGCGGUAAUACGGAGGGUGAAAGCGUUGUCCGGAUUUAUGGGGUUUAAAGGGUGCGUAGGCGGCUGAUUAAGUCAGCGGUGAAAGACUCCGGCUUAACCGGGGCAGUGCCGUUGAUACUGGUUAGCUUGAGUGUUGGAGGGGUACAUGGAAUUGAUGGUGUAGCGGUGAAAUGCAUAGAUACCAUCAGGAACACCGAUAGCGAAGGCAUUGUACUGGCCAACAACUGACGCUGAUGCACGAAAGUGUGGGGAUCGAACAGGAUUAGAUACCCGAGUAGUCC